AGUGAACGCUGGCGGUAGGCCUAACACAUGCCAGUCGAACGGCAGCACAGUAAGAGCUUGCUCUUACGGGUGGCGAGUGGCGGACGGGUGAGGAAUAAAUCGGAAUCUACUUUUUCGUGGGAGAUAACGUAGGGAAACUUACGCUAAUACCGCAUACGACCUACGGGUGAAAGCAGGGGAUCUUCGGACCUUGCGCGAUUGAAUGAGCCGAUGUCGGAUUAGCUAGUUGGCGGGGUAAAGGCCCACCAAGGCGACGAUCCGUAGCUGGUCUGAGAGGAUGAUCAGCCACACUGGAACUGAGACACGGUCCAGACUCCUACGGGAGGCAGCAGUGGGGAAUAUUGGACAAUGGGCGCAAGCCUGAUCCAGCCAUACCGCGUGGGUGAAGAAGGCCUUCGGGUUGUAAAGCCCUUUUGUUGGGAAAGAAAAGCAGCAGGUUAAUACCCCGCUGUUCUGACGGUACCCAAAGAAUAAGCACCGGCUAACUUCGUG
RNAcentral lists this ribosomal RNA (492 nucleotides) under uncultured bacterium. Its description in RNAcentral is "partial 16S ribosomal RNA". It matches the Rfam family "Bacterial small subunit ribosomal RNA", at positions 29 to 507 of the family's 1533-position model. The record is from RNAcentral.